This 497-nucleotide ribosomal RNA is filed under the name uncultured bacterium. RNAcentral's name for it is "partial 16S ribosomal RNA". It matches the Rfam family "Bacterial small subunit ribosomal RNA", at positions 28 to 507 of the family's 1533-position model. The record is from RNAcentral.
GAUGAACGCUGGCGGCGUGCCUAAUACAUGCAAGUCGAGCGAACGGACGAGAAGCUUGCUUCUCUUAUAUUAGCGGCGAACGGGUGAGUAACACGUGGAUAACCUACCUAUAAGACUGGGAUAACUUCGGGAAACCGGAGCUAAUACCGCAUAAUAUUUUUAACCACAUGGUUCAAAAGUGAAAGACGCUCUUGCUUUCACUUAUAGAUGUAUCCCCGCUGCAUUAGCUAGUUGUUAAGGUAACGGCUUACCAAGCGAACGAUGAAUAGCCGACCUGAGAGGGUGAUCGGCAACACUGGAACUGAGACACGGUCCAGACUCCUCCGGGAGGCAGCAGUAGGGAUUUUUCCGCAAUGGGCGAAAGCCUGCCGGGGCAACGCCGCGUGAGUGAUGAAGGUCUUCGGAUCGUAAAACUCUGUUAUUAGGGAAGACCAUAUGUGUAAGUAACUGUGCACCUAUUGACGGUACCUAAUCAGAAAGCCACGGCUAACUACGUG